RNAcentral lists this transfer RNA (72 nucleotides) under Heterocephalus glaber (naked mole-rat). It matches the Rfam family "tRNA". From Rfam's summary of the family: Transfer RNA (tRNA) molecules are approximately 80 nucleotides in length. Lineage: Eukaryota; Metazoa; Chordata; Mammalia; Rodentia; Bathyergidae. The record is from Rfam by way of RNAcentral.
GGAGAUAUAGCUUAGUGGUAGAGUGCUUGCCUAGCAUGUAGAAGGCCCUAGAUUUGAUCCCUAGCACUGCCA